RNAcentral lists this ribosomal RNA (447 nucleotides) under uncultured bacterium. RNAcentral's name for it is "bacterial SSU rRNA". It matches the Rfam family "Bacterial small subunit ribosomal RNA", at positions 355 to 825 of the family's 1533-position model. The record is from RNAcentral.
UGGGGAAUAUUGGACAAUGGGCGAAAGCCUGAUCCAGCCAUGCCGCGUGAGUGACGAAGGCCUUAGGGUUGUAAAACUCUUUCGUCGGGGACGAUAAUGACGGUACCCGAAGAAGAAGCUCCGGCUAACUUCGUGCCAGCAGCCGCGGUAAUACGAAGGGAGCUAGCGUUGUUCGGAAUCACUGGGCGUAAAGCGCACGUAGGUGGGCAGUUAAGUCAGGGGUGAAAGCCCGAGGCUCAACCUCGGAAUUGCCUCUGAUACUGGCUGUCUAGAGUUCGAGAGAGGUGAGUGGAAUUCCUAGUGUAGAGGUGAAAUUCGUAGAUAUUAGGAAGAACACCGGUGGCGAAGGCGGCUCACUGGCUCGAUACUGACACUGAGGUGCGAAAGCGUGGGGAGCAAACAGGAUUAGAUACCCACGUAGUCCCUGAGCGGGCUGGCAAGGCGCAU